This 72-nucleotide transfer RNA is filed under the name Camelus ferus (Wild Bactrian camel). It matches the Rfam family "tRNA". Rfam says of the family: Transfer RNA (tRNA) molecules are approximately 80 nucleotides in length. Their secondary structure includes four short double-helical elements and three loops (D, anti-codon, and T loops). The record is from Rfam by way of RNAcentral. Lineage: Eukaryota; Metazoa; Chordata; Mammalia; Artiodactyla; Camelidae.
GAGGGUGUAGCUCAGUGGUAGAGUGUGUACUUAGCAUGCCUGAAGUCCUAGGUUCAACCCCCAGUACCUCCA